This 802-nucleotide ribosomal RNA is filed under the name Salmonella enterica. Its description in RNAcentral is "partial 23S ribosomal RNA". It matches the Rfam family "Bacterial large subunit ribosomal RNA", at positions 2001 to 2802 of the family's 2925-position model. Lineage: Bacteria; Pseudomonadati; Pseudomonadota; Gammaproteobacteria; Enterobacterales; Enterobacteriaceae. The record is from RNAcentral. RNAcentral also lists the same sequence under 1 other name.
GUAAUGAUGGCCAGGCUGUCUCCACCCGAGACUCAGUGAAAUUGAACUCGCUGUGAAGAUGCAGUGUACCCGCGGCAAGACGGAAAGACCCCGUGAACCUUUACUAUAGCUUGACACUGAACAUUGAGCCUUGAUGUGUAGGAUAGGUGGGAGGCUUUGAAGCGUGGACGCCAGUCUGCGUGGAGCCGACCUUGAAAUACCACCCUUUAAUGUUUGAUGUUCUAACGUGGACCCGUAAUCCGGGUUGCGGACAGUGUCUGGUGGGUAGUUUGACUGGGGCGGUCUCCUCCUAAAGAGUAACGGAGGAGCACGAAGGUUGGCUAAUCCUGGUCGGACAUCAGGAGGUUAGUGCAAUGGCAUAAGCCAGCUUGACUGCGAGCGUGACGGCGCGAGCAGGUGCGAAAGCAGGUCAUAGUGAUCCGGUGGUUCUGAAUGGAAGGGCCAUCGCUCAACGGAUAAAAGGUACUCCGGGGAUAACAGGCUGAUACCGCCCAAGAGUUCAUAUCGACGGCGGUGUUUGGCACCUCGAUGUCGGCUCAUCACAUCCUGGGGCUGAAGUAGGUCCCAAGGGUAUGGCUGUUCGCCAUUUAAAGUGGUACGCGAGCUGGGUUUAGAACGUCGUGAGACAGUUCGGUCCCUAUCUGCCGUGGGCGCUGGAGAACUGAGGGGGGCUGCUCCUAGUACGAGAGGACCGGAGUGGACGCAUCACUGGUGUUCGGGUUGUCAUGCCAAUGGCACUGCCCGGUAGCUAAAUGCGGAAGAGAUAAGUGCUGAAAGCAUCUAAGCACGAAACUUGCCCCGA